GACGAACGCUGGCGGCGUGCUUAACACAUGCAAGUCGAACGGAAAGGCCCUGCUUUUGUUGGGUGCUCGAGUGGCGAACGGGUGAGUAACACGUGAGUAACCUGCCCUUGACUUUGGGAUAACUUUAGGAAACUGGGGCUAAUACCGGAUAGGAGCUCCUGCUGCAUGGUGGGGGUUGGAAAGUUUCGGCGGUUGGGGAUGGACUCGCGGCUUAUCAGCUUGUUGGUGGGGUAGUGGCUUACCAAGGCUUUGACGGGUAGCCGGCCUGAGAGGGUGACCGGCAAAAUUGGGACUGAGAUACGGCCAAGACUCCUACGGGAGGAAGAAGUGGGGAAAAUUGAAAAAGGGGCGGAAGCCUGAUGCAGCAACGCCGCGUGCGGGAUGACGGCCUUCGGGUUGUAAACCGCUUUCGCAUGUGAGGAAGCGUGAGUGACGGUAAUGGGUAAAGAAGCACCGGCUAACUACGUG
Molecule: ribosomal RNA, 468 nt
Filed under: uncultured bacterium
Lineage: Bacteria
Description: partial 16S ribosomal RNA
Rfam family: Bacterial small subunit ribosomal RNA
Source: RNAcentral